UCCCGCGGCGCUCGCGGGCAGCCACGGGAGUGCAGACCUCUACAUGGUCGCCCACUGAAGCUAAGCAGGGCUGUGCCCGGUUAGUACCUGGAUGGGAGACCACAUGGGAAAGCUAGGUUGCUGCCGGAA
Danio rerio (zebrafish) is the source of this 129-nucleotide ribosomal RNA. The record is from Ensembl. NCBI's taxonomy places the organism in Eukaryota, Metazoa, Chordata, Actinopteri, Cypriniformes, Danionidae.